RNAcentral lists this ribosomal RNA (382 nucleotides) under uncultured eukaryote. Its description in RNAcentral is "partial 18S ribosomal RNA". It matches the Rfam family "Eukaryotic small subunit ribosomal RNA", at positions 592 to 976 of the family's 1831-position model. The record is from RNAcentral.
CAAUAGCGUAUAUUAAAGUUGUUGCAGUUAAAAAGCUCGUAGUUGGAUUUCUGGUGGGAGCGAUCGGUCUGGCGCUUAGCGCGAGUACUUGCAUCGUCUCCGGCCAUCCUUGGGGAGAGUCUGUCUGGCAUUAGGUUGUCGGGCAGAGGAUCCUCAUCGUUUACUGUGAAAAAAUUAGAGUGUUCAAAGCAGGCUUAUGCCGUUGAAUAUAUUAGCAUGGAAUAAUAAGAUAGGACUUUGGUACUAUUUUGUUGGUUUGCGCACCAAAGUAAUGAUUAAUAGGGACAGUUGGGGGUAUUCGUAUUCCGUUGUCAGAGGUGAAAUUCUUGGAUUACGGAAGACGAACUACUGCGAAAGCAUUUACCAAGGAUGUUUUCAUUAA